GACGCACUCUCAGAGUUUGAUCCUGGCUCAGGAUGAACGCUGGCGGCGUGCUUAACACAUGCAAGUCGAACGAGAAUUACAUUUAGAGAGCCUUCGGGAAGGAAGAAUGUAAAUCUAGUGGCGGACGGGUGAGUAACGCGUAGGUAAUCUGCCUUAUCCACAGGAAUAACACAAAGAAAUUUGUGCUAAUACCAGAUAAAAUAUCAAAUAAGCAUUUAUAUGAUAUCAAAGAGCAAUCGGGAUAAGAUGAGCCUGCGACUGAUUAGCUAGUUGGUGAGAUAACAGCCCACCAAGGCAACGAUCAGUAGCCGACCUGAGAGGGUGAUCGGCCACAUUGGAACUGAGAGACGGUCCAA
Molecule: ribosomal RNA, 356 nt
Filed under: uncultured bacterium
Lineage: Bacteria
Description: bacterial SSU rRNA
Rfam family: Bacterial small subunit ribosomal RNA
Source: RNAcentral